RNAcentral lists this ribosomal RNA (253 nucleotides) under uncultured bacterium. Its description in RNAcentral is "partial 16S ribosomal RNA". It matches the Rfam family "Bacterial small subunit ribosomal RNA", at positions 524 to 776 of the family's 1533-position model. The record is from RNAcentral.
UACGUAGGGUGCGAGCGUUGUCCGGAAUUAUUGGGCGUAAAGAGCUUGUAGGCGGUUUGUCGCGUCUGCCGUGAAAGCCCAGGGCUUAACCCUGGGUCUGCGGUGGGUACGGGCAGACUAGAGUGUGGUAGGGGAGACUGGAAUUCCUGGUGUAGCGGUGAGAUGCGCAGAUAUCAGGAGGAACACCGAUGGCGAAGGCAGGUCUCUGGGCCACUACUGACGCUGAGAAGCGAAAGCAUGGGGAGCAAACAGG